Molecule: non-coding RNA, 353 nt
Organism: Anolis sagrei ordinatus
Lineage: Eukaryota; Metazoa; Chordata; Lepidosauria; Squamata; Anolidae
Source: RefSeq, a predicted model, not a curated record
UUUGUUUGUUGUUUUUCUAAUAUAUCCUGACAUUUUCUAGAUUCCUCAGUACAGAAAGGCUCAAGUUCAUCAGUAGUACGAGAAUCUGUGAAGAAGGGCUCAAGUUCAUCCAUAGUGCGGGACUCUGGAAGUGAAGAUUUAAAGAAUUCGGAUAUAAGUGUGGCUAAAAAGAAGAAGGGAGGAAAUUCAUCAGUAAACUGGAACCUGUGAAUAAGAGAUCAAGUUCCAACAAUAGACUGGGAUUUGUGGAAAAAACAUCGGAUUCAGUAGUUACUUGGUGAGCUGGCAGGUGGCGAGGCACAAAAUAAUUUCUGCGAAUGGCCCAGUGUUGAGCAUUAAAAAACUGUAAAAUA